GUCCCUGCUGGUCGGUCCGCCUUAUUGGUGUGUACUUACUCAGUGGGGACUUACCUCCUGGUGAGCUGGCAUGCCCUUUACUGGGUGUGUCAGGGAACCUGGACGUUUACUUUGAAAAAAUUAGAGUGUUCAAAACAGGCAUUAUUGCUUGAAUACAUUAGCAUGGAAUAACGGAAUAGG
RNAcentral lists this ribosomal RNA (180 nucleotides) under uncultured Glomeromycotina. RNAcentral's name for it is "partial small subunit ribosomal RNA". The record is from RNAcentral. Lineage: Eukaryota; Fungi; Glomeromycota.